This 1556-nucleotide long non-coding RNA is filed under the name Helianthus annuus (common sunflower). Its description in RNAcentral is "hypothetical non coding rna". The record is from RNAcentral. Lineage: Eukaryota; Viridiplantae; Streptophyta; Magnoliopsida; Asterales; Asteraceae.
UGGAGGACUAUAUAAAAAUGUGAGCCAAGAGUGAAUACUACAAGUAGACACGAGUCACGAGGCCAGCCUUUUGUGGCUCUAGCUAUGGGUCCCAAAUUUGCCCCCAUUCAAUUCAAUGAGAUUUCAGUGAUUCUUCUUCGGUGAGCAAUUCAGCCCUUGUAUAUUAAUUUAUGCAACCCGCAAUCGUUUUUGCUUCAAUGGCCCUUCCGUUUCUAGCAAUCAAUCAUCAGACAAAUCAUUGAUUCAGAUCCGAAAUUGGAAUCAAAAGCAACAUCCAGAACUGAAUCUGGAUGGUGAUUUGUUAGUGAACAGAGAUGGUGUUAGAAUUGUUUCUCAAAGCCGCCAAUCUGAUACUGUGAGUUGUUUUUGUUUUCUGUUAUGAAUCUGGGUUGAUGGAUGAUUUCACCUUUUAGGGUUAAUUCUGUGUUUGAUCCAUUGUCUUAGAAAUUUGUUUCUUGAUAGGGGUAGUUUGGGGUUUAAGCGAAGCUAAAUUCUGUCCUGUGAAAAGUUUUCCUCACAGAAUAAAGAGUUUGGCUGGCUCAUUAUAUGUUGUAUGCUUUUUUUUUUUUUUAUGUAUACACUAAACGCUCUGUUACUUAAAAGGGUAGCAGACUAGAGUAAAAGUAAUGAACAAAUCUUAAAAUAAGAUCGUUGGUGGCGACUGUUGCGGUUGGACUCGGCAUACCGAUUUUCUACGGAACGCAGAUUAAUAGUGUUGUAUGUUGUUGUUGUUUUAACUUUCUUCUUCUUCUUCUUCUUCUUCUUCAGUUUUCCCUAAUUGUGCCUGCUUUGAUUACUUAAUGAAAAUGUACCAUAACUAUUGUAGUGGGUGAGAAGCCUAAAUAUUAUUAUUAGAAUUACAAAACUAUGUAUGGGUGUGUGUUGAAACUGUAUAAAACUUCAUCGUCUUCUUCGUUCAAGCAGCCCGUACCUCAAUCGUCCACAUCUGCAUCAUCGACAUUUUACGGAGGCUCCGAAAACAGUUACGGUUCCAGAUCUGAUAAUUUUAACCUCACUACGUCCGAUUCAAUGUAUUCUCGAGGCGGUUACGGAACGCUUUCGCCUGUAGGUUAUCCGUCUGCUGAUGCUUGUAAGUGAUUCAUAUCAUAACAUAAAACUAACGGAAAUUGUCUAUGGACUUUGUGAGCAACCUCAUUUACUUGUAGCAAAGCAAUGGAGUUACUUAUUCAGUGGACGAUUCUCAUGAUGGAAGGAGGGGUGUCACAUCUUCUGUUGGUUGACUCAUCUAUGCGUGGCAACACCAUCUGAAUGGAGGAAAACGCUGUCAAAUCCUGAUAAAGAUGUCAUUCUGUUGGAUGUGAGAAAUGGUAUUUCCUCCUUGUUUACUGAGUCAGGGGUGAUUAGCUCAAGACAAGUUGACUCCUUUUGGUAAAAUGCAAGCUUAUGUUAACCUUGAAGAUUCUAUGGCCUUACUAGGUUAUGAGGAACCAGAACAAUUAGUUUGGAGUAUUGGCAAACAGAGUGUAGAUCUAUAAACACUAACUGUAUUUUUAUUUAUUUAUUUAUUUAUUUAUUGUUUAUUAAUAUAAAUUCUU